RNAcentral lists this ribosomal RNA (426 nucleotides) under uncultured bacterium. Its description in RNAcentral is "bacterial SSU rRNA". It matches the Rfam family "Bacterial small subunit ribosomal RNA", at positions 356 to 774 of the family's 1533-position model. The record is from RNAcentral.
GGGGAAUUUUGGACAAUGGGGGCAACCCUGAUCCAGCAAUGCCGCGUGUGUGAAGAAGGCCUUCGGGUUGUAAAGCACUUUUGUCCGGAAAGAAAACGCCGUGGUUAAUACCCGUGGCGGAUGACGGUACCGGAAGAAUAAGCACCGGCUAACUACGUGCCAGCAGCCGCGGUCAUACGUAGGGUGCAAGCGUUAAUCGGAAUUACUGGGCGUAAAGCGUGCGCAGGCGGUCCGCUAAGACAGAUGUGAAAUCCCCGGGCUUAACCUGGGAACUGCAUUUGUGACUGGCGGGCUAGAGUAUGGCAGAGGGAGGUGGAAUUCCGCGUGUAGCAGUGAAAUGCGUAGAGAUGCGGAGGAACACCGAUGGCGAAGGCAGCCUCCUGGGAUGACACUGACGCUCAUGCACGAAAGCGUGGGGAGCAAACA